RNAcentral lists this transfer RNA (65 nucleotides) under Mnais costalis. RNAcentral's name for it is "tRNA-Ser". The record is from RNAcentral. Lineage: Eukaryota; Metazoa; Arthropoda; Insecta; Odonata; Calopterygidae.
GGCCCGUAAGCUUUAAGAAGCAUGUACUUUGAAAGUACGAGAUAAGGUAUUAACCUUACGGGCUU